This 274-nucleotide ribosomal RNA is filed under the name uncultured bacterium. RNAcentral describes it as "partial 16S ribosomal RNA". It matches the Rfam family "Bacterial small subunit ribosomal RNA", at positions 523 to 796 of the family's 1533-position model. The record is from RNAcentral.
AUACGGAGGGUGCAAGCGUUAUCCGGAUUCAUUGGGUUUAAAGGGUCCGCAGGCGGGGAAAUAAGUCAGUGGUGAAAGCCUACAGCUCAACUGUAGAACUGCCAUUGAUACUGUUUUUCUUGAGUAUAGAUGAAGUGGGCGGAAUAUAUCAUGUAGCGGUGAAAUGCAUAGAUAUGAUAUAGAACACCGAUUGCGAAGGCAGCUCACUAAACUAUUACUGACGCUCAGGGACGAAAGCGUGGGGAGCGAACAGGAUUAGAAACCCCAGUAGUCC